GAAACGCGAUAAGUAAUGUGAAUUGCAGAAUUCAGUGAAUCAUCGAAUCUUUGAACGCACCUUGCGCUCCUUGGUAUUCCGAGGAGCAUGCCUGUUUGAGUGUCAUGGAAUUCUCAACUCUAUUUGCUUUUGUGAAUAGAGCUUGGAUUUGGAGGUUUAUUGCUGGUACUUGUGAUCGGCUCCUCUUGAAUGCAUUAGCUCGAACCUUUGCGGAUCAGCUAUCGGUGUGAUAAUUGUCUACGCCGUUGCAGUGAAGCAUAUCAAUGGGCUCGGCUUCCAAUCGUCCUUUACUGGACAAUGACUUUGACCUUUGACCUCAAAUCAGGUAGGAUUACCCGCUGAACUUAAGC
RNAcentral lists this unclassified non-coding RNA (350 nucleotides) under plant metagenome. RNAcentral's name for it is "partial contains 5.8S ribosomal RNA, internal transcribed spacer 2, and large subunit ribosomal RNA". The stretch from base 1 to 105 matches the Rfam family "5.8S ribosomal RNA", at positions 50 to 154 of the family's 154-position model. The record is from RNAcentral.